AUGAAUUCCCAAGCUCUGGUCCUCCCCAGCUCUGCUUCCGGCUCAGAGACAGCCAUAAUCAACAGAACAAAUGGCUUGGGUUUUGAUACUUCUCCAGUAAUGAAGACCCCUCCCAAGCUGGAGGGUGAUGCUACUGAUGGCUCCUUUGCCAGUAAGCAUGGCCGCCAUGUCAUUGGCCACAUUGAUGACUACAGUGCCCUAAGACAGCAGAUUGCGGAGGGUAAGCUGCUGGUCAAAAAGAUAGUGUCUCUUGUGAGAUCAGCGUGCAGCUUCCCUGGCCUUGAAGCCCAAGGCACAGGGGUGCUAGGCAGCAAAGGUAUUCAUGAGCUUCGGAGCAGCACCAGUGCCCUGCACCAUGCCCUAGAGGAGUCGGCUUCCCUCCUCACCAUGUUCUGGAGAGUGGCCCUGCCAAGCACCCACAUCCCUGUGCUGCCUGGCAAAGUGGUAAGAUACCAGUGUCCUUUCUUGGUUCAAACCCAGUUCUCCUGCCCUCCAAUACUGUUCUGUCUCCUCAAUGUCACAGCUUUUCCAGAAAAUCAGGAGCCACAUAGUGAAUUGGGAUAGACACGAACUUAGAGGAGUGUCCCUGGAGGGACAUCUCUGACCCACAGUCACUGUUUUCAUUGCAGCUCUAAAUACAUCCCAUUCCACACCAGCCCCCUGGCCCCUGGAUAAGAAACCAAAGAAGAAGAGGAAGGAGUGUGGAGAAGGCGGAGACAUCAGAACCCUGGCAAUCCAUAAAUGUUCAGUUUCUUUACCUCUCUGAAGUUUGGAUGAGCUG
This 781-nucleotide long non-coding RNA is filed under the name Pan paniscus (pygmy chimpanzee). Its description in RNAcentral is "lncRNA (ENSPPAG00000044292.1)". Lineage: Eukaryota; Metazoa; Chordata; Mammalia; Primates; Hominidae. The record is from RNAcentral.